UUUUAUAACAUUUACGUAUCGUGAUGAGGUCACAGGAAAAAUUAUUAUUAUUCAUGAAGUUAGGAAAUGUUAAGUAACAAAAUAAAAUGCCUGAAAAUGCAUGUAUGUUAUCCAUCAAGCAUUUGUUGGACUGGGAAAAGUGUUUUUUUAAAUUCAUAAUUUUCCCAGGGAUGAGGGAACAUUAAUCUGAGCCUGAGAUGAUCACCACUUCUUAUUGUAUAUAUUAUAGAUUUAUAGAUAGAUUCUAUUAUAUUUUAUAUAUGUGUGUGUAUAUAUAAAUAUGUAUGUAUAUAUGUAAAAUUUCAUAAAACUUUAUUAUAAUCAUAUUUAAAAUACACAUUUUUCCGCCAAAGCACCACAGGCGCAGUGGCGCAGUAAUACCCUACUGAUGUAAUGCGGUCAUAUGUAAUGAUACAAAUAUUAUUCCUCCGCCGCCACGCAAUGUAGUUCUGCUGAAGCAAAAGCGGCUGCUUAGCAACACAGAGGCAGUGGCGCAGUAAUACUGGUGUAAUGCGGUCAAGAGUCAUUUUAAACGGCUCAUUUAUAUUUAUUAAUUAUUAUUAAUGUAUUAAGUUAUUGAGUUAACAUAAUUUUCCCGCAUAAGUUACGUGGCGAAGGUGAAAAGUGGACAAUAGUAGCUGUUCAACUCACGCUCCACUUGUGAGGAUCCCAAGCAUUAAACCAGCCUGUGAAGGUGGGUGGCUCAUAGCCCUGUUUAACGGAGAUAAUCGGGGUCCCGGGGUCUCGACCUGCAGGGUGGGUUUUAAGAUAUUCCACUGCACUGUUGUUUGCUUCCUGAGUCUCAUACUGGUUGGACGAGUUGCCAAUCCAGAGGAAAAUCUGAAGGAGAUGAGAGCAUGACUACUUUUUGCAUAGCCCAGACCGCCGUGACCACUUUACCACAGCCACAUGCAAAAGAAUCAGACAGAGCCUGAUCAAACACAACCCACCUCCUCCCAGGUGUCUAACAGCAUGACAUCAUCUUCAUCCAGGUCGUCCUGUGUGAAGUCAGCCACUUCCGUCAUGAGGAAUCGUCCCGUCUGAUUGGAGCACUCGAACAGGCGUGGAGUGUGAAGUGCGUCGUCUUUUUCCAGUCUGGUGGAAAUGCAGAAAUGAUCAUUAACUGAAUAAAAAUAUGGGAUGAUGAUG
Long non-coding RNA from Misgurnus anguillicaudatus (oriental weatherfish), 1149 nucleotides. RefSeq lists it as uncharacterized. The record is from RefSeq and is a predicted model, not a curated record. Lineage: Eukaryota; Metazoa; Chordata; Actinopteri; Cypriniformes; Cobitidae.